RNAcentral lists this unclassified non-coding RNA (345 nucleotides) under soil metagenome. RNAcentral describes it as "partial contains 5.8S ribosomal RNA, internal transcribed spacer 2, and large subunit ribosomal RNA". The stretch from base 1 to 120 matches the Rfam family "5.8S ribosomal RNA", at positions 35 to 154 of the family's 154-position model. The record is from RNAcentral.
GAUGAAGAACGUAGCGAAAUGCGAUACGUAAUGUGAAUUGCAGAAUUCAGUGAAUCAUCGGGUCUUUGAACGCACAUUGCGCCCCCUGGUAUUCCGGGGGGCAUGCCUGUCCGAGCGUCAUUGCUGCCCUCAAGCACGGCUUGUGUGUUGGGCCUCCGUCCUCCUCCCGGGGGACGGGCCCGAAAGGCAGCGGCGGCACCGCGUCCGGUCCUCGAGCGUAUGGGGCUUCGUCACCCGCUCUUGUAGGCCCGGCCGGCGCUUGCCGACACAUCAAUCUUUUUUCCAGGUUGACCUCGGAUCAGGUAGGGAUACCCGCUGAACUUAAGCAUAUCAAUAAGCGGAGGA